This 265-nucleotide ribosomal RNA is filed under the name uncultured bacterium. RNAcentral's name for it is "partial 16S ribosomal RNA". It matches the Rfam family "Bacterial small subunit ribosomal RNA", at positions 28 to 290 of the family's 1533-position model. The record is from RNAcentral.
GACGAACGCUGGCGGCGUGCUUAACACAUGCAAGUCGAGCGGUAAGGCCCUUUCGGGGGUACGACGAGCGGCGAACGGGUGAGUAACACGUGGGUGACCUGCCCUCCAGCUCUGGGAUAAGCCUGGGAAACCGGGGUCUAAUACUGGAUAUGACUCCAUGACGCAUGUUGUGGGGUGGAAAGCCUUGUGCGGCUGAGGAUGGGCCCGCGGCCUAUCAGCUUGUUGGUGGGGUGGAUGGCCUACCAAGGCGACGACGGGUAGCCGG